CUGGAGGUAUCAGAAGUGCGAAUGCUGACAUAAGUAACGAUAAAGCGGGUGAAAAGCCCGCUCGCCGGAAGACCAAGGGUUCCUGUCCAACGUUAAUCGGGGCAGGGUGAGUCGACCCCUAAGGCGAGGCCGAAAGGCGUAGUCGAUGGGAAACAGGUUAAUAUUCCUGUACUUGGUGUUACUGCGAAGGGGGGACGGAGAAGGCUAUGUUGGCCGGGCGACGGUUGUCCCGGUUUAAGCGUGUAGGCUGGUUUUCCAGGCAAAUCCGGAAAAUCAAGGCUGAGGCGUGAUGACGAGGCACUACGGUGCUGAAGCAACAAAUGCCCUGCUUCCAGGAAAAGCCUCUAAGCAUCAGGUAACAUCAAAUCGUACCCCAAACCGACACAGGUGGUCAGGUAGAGAAUACCAAGGCGCUUGAGAGAACUCGGGUGAAGGAACUAGGCAAAAUGGUGCCGUAACUUCGGGAGAAGGCACGCUGAUAUGUAGGUGAAGUCCCUCGCGGAUGGAGCUGAAAUCAGUCGAAGAUACCAGCUGGCUGCAACUGUUUAUUAAAAACACAGCACUGUGCAAACACGAAAGUGGACGUAUACGGUGUGACGCCUGCCCGGUGCCGGAAGGUUAAUUGAUGGGGUCAGCGCAAGCGAAGCUCUUGAUCGAAGCCCCGGUAAACGGCGGCCGUAACUAUAACGGUCCUAAGGUAGCGAAAUUCCUUGUCGGGUAAGUUCCGACCUGCACGAAUGGCGUAAUGAUGGCCAGGCUGUCUCCACCCGAGACUCAGUGAAAUUGAACUCGCUGUGAAGAUGCAGUGUACCCGCGGCAAGACGGAAAGACCCCGUGAACCUUUACUAUAGCUUGACACUGAACAUUGAGCCUUGAUGUGUAGGAUAGGUGGGAGGCUUGGAAGUGUGGACGCCAGUCUGCAUGGAGCCGACCUUGAAAUACCACCCUUUAAUGUUUGAUGUUCUAACGUGGACCCGUGAUCCGGGUUGCGGACAGUGUCUGGUGGGUAGUUUGACUGGGGCGGUCUCCUCCUAAAGAGUAACGGAGGAGCACGAAGGUUGGCUAAUCCUGGUCGGACAUCAGGAGGUUAGUGCAAUGGCAUAAGCCAGCUUGACUGCGAGCGUGACGGCGCGAGCAGGUGCGAAAGCAGGUCAUAGUGAUCCGGUGGUUCUGAAUGGAAGGGCCAUCGCUCAACGGAUAAAAGGUACUCCGGGGAUAACAGGCUGAUACCGCCCAAGAGUUCAUAUCGACGGCGGUGUUUGGCACCUCGAUGUCGGCUCAUCACAUCCUGGGGCUGAAGUAGGUCCCAAGGGUAUGGCUGUUCGCCAUUUAAAGUGGUACGCGAGCUGGGUUUAGAACGUCGUGAGACAGUUCGGUCCCUAUCUGCCGUGGGCGCUGGAGAACUGAGGGGGGCUGCUCCUAGUACGAGAGGACCGGAGUGGACGCAUCACUGGUGUUCGGGUUGUCAUGCCAAUGGCACUGCCCGGUAGCUAAAUGCGGAAGAGAUAAGUGCUGAAAGCAUCUAAGCACGAAACUUGCCCCGAGAUGAGUUCUCCCUGACUCCUUGAGAGUCCUGAAGGAACGUUGAAGACGACGACGUUGAUAGGCCGGGUGUGUAAGCGCAGCGAUGCGUUGAGCUAACCGGUACUAAUGAACCGUGAGG
RNAcentral lists this ribosomal RNA (1663 nucleotides) under Escherichia coli. RNAcentral's name for it is "partial 23S ribosomal RNA". It matches the Rfam family "Bacterial large subunit ribosomal RNA", at positions 1273 to 2915 of the family's 2925-position model. The record is from RNAcentral. Lineage: Bacteria; Pseudomonadati; Pseudomonadota; Gammaproteobacteria; Enterobacterales; Enterobacteriaceae.